Molecule: long non-coding RNA, 217 nt
Organism: Nothoprocta perdicaria
Lineage: Eukaryota; Metazoa; Chordata; Aves; Tinamiformes; Tinamidae
Exons: 2
Source: RefSeq, a predicted model, not a curated record
CAGUGUUGUUCACUGAAUGCCAGUAAUAACUCUUUCUAUCUGAACCCCCCUGUGAACCUUCCAGUGCAUAAUGUUAUUGUACAAGACAUCUUUUAGGCAUUUUUUCAAGCCAAGCAUCACACAGAGGAGCAUUUCUUCAUUGGAGAUUGGCAACAGGAAUGCAAGUUUUGGCUGCUUCCCCACUUUCUGCUGGGCUUUACACUGGUGUGAAGUUCCU